GGCCGCCGCAGCCCCCGGCCCGGCGCGGGGGGGGCGCGCGCCGGCGCGAUGCAGCCGCGGGGCCGCGCGGGGUCGGGGGCUGCGGCCCGGGAGGAAGGAUGGGACCGCGGCGCCCGGCGUCCUCUGCCCCGAACGGGCUUCUAAAACAGCUGAAUCCGGGACCUUGAGGAAUGUCAUUCAGUAGGUGCUGAACUAACUGGCACUGAAAGGAACAGAAAAAGAUGGCAGUCCGUUUUUGAAAUAAUUAAACACGUGGACUCUCGCUGAUAAGAAACCAUGUCUAAAAAAGGACGUAGCAAGGGCGAAAAGCCUGAGGCACUGAUUGUUGCCCUACAGGCUGCCAAUGAGGAACUCAGGACCAAACUAACAGACAUUCAAAUUGAGCUGCAUCAGGAGAAAUCUAAGGUUGCGAAACUUGAAAGAGAGAAGACUCAAGAAACAAAGCGUAUCCGUGAGGUGGAGCAGCGCAAGCAGACAGUGCAAAUCACAGAGCUAAAAGCCAAACUCCAUGAGGAGAAAAUGAAGGAGCUGCAGGCUGUGAGGGAGAACCUCAUCAAACAGCAUGAGCAGGAGAUGACACGGAUGGUGAAAGUCCGAGACAGUGAAAUCCAGCGCCUCAAGUCAGCGCUGUGUGCGCUGCGGGAUGGGAGCAGUGAUAAAGUAAGGACAGCGCUGACCAUUGAGGCUCGUGAAGAGGCCAGAAAACAGUUUGACUCUGAGCGCCUUAAGCUUCUGCAGGAAAUUACUGAACUGAAGUCUGCCAAAAAGCAGGUAGAUGAGGCCCUUAACAAUAUGAUCCAAGCUGAUAAGAUCAAGGCUGGAGAUCUUCGGAGUGAACAUCAGUCCCACCAGGAAGCCAUUUCCAAAAUAAAAUGGGAGAGCGAAAGGGAUAUUCGCCGCCUGAUGGACGAGAUCAAGGCUAAAGACAGGAUCAUAUUUUCCUUGGAGAAAGAACUGGAGACACAGACAGGCUACGUGCAGAAGCUGCAGCUGCAGAAGGAAGCUCUGGAUGAGCAGCUCUUCUUGGUGAAGGAGGCAGAGUGUAACAUGAGCAGUCCCAAGAGAGAGAUCCCAGGAAGGGCUGGAGAUGGCUCGGAGCACUGCAGCAGCCCUGAUUUGCGCAGAAACCAGAAGAGGAUAGCAGAGCUGAAUGCCACAAUCCGGAAGCUGGAAGACAGGAAUACAUUGCUUGUUGAUGAACGAAACGAACUGUUGAAGCGUGUCCGAGAAGCUGAGAAACAAUGUAAACCUCUUCUGGAAAAGAACAAGUGCCUCACGAAGAGAAAUGAUGAACUUAUGCAGUCUUUGCAGCGCAUGGAAGAUAAACUCAAAGCAGUCACUAAAGAAAAUAUAGAAAUGAGAGAAAAAAUUACAUCACAUCCUCCUCUAAAGAAAUUAAGAUCUCUCAAUGACCUGGAUCAGGCUAAUGAGGAACAAGAAACUGAAUUCUUGAAGCUUCAAGUCAUAGAACAACAGAACAUAAUAGAUGAGUUAACAAGGGAUAGGGAGAAACUCAUUCGUCGCAGAAAGCAUAAAAGAAGCUCAAAGCCAAUUAAGAGACAUGUGGUGGACACAUUUUUUGGGUAUGAUGAAGAUUCUGUGGACUCUGAAACAUCUUCUGUGGCCUCAUAUAGAACAGACAGAACACCAGCAACCCCAGAUGAUGAUCUGGACGAGGGUUUAGCAGCAGAAGAAUCAGAGCUGCGGUUUCGGCAGCUGACAAAGGAAUACCAGGCCCUGCAGAGAGCAUAUGCACUUCUGCAGGAACAGACAGGAGGCAUCAUAGAUGCUGAAAGAGAAGCCAAGGCUCAGGAGCAGCUCCAAGCUGAAGUGCAGAGAUACAAAGCCAAAAUAGAAGAUCUGGAGAAAACUUUGGCACAGAAAGGGCAGGACUCGCACUGGGUGGAAGACAAACAGCUUUUCAUUAAGAGGAACCAAGAGCUUUUAGACAAGAUAGAGAAACUGGAAGCAGAAAACAGCCGUCUGCAACAGGAGCUGCAGGAUGCCCGAGACCAGAAUGAGCUGCUGGAGUUCCGUAACCUUGAGCUGGAGGAAAGAGAGAGACGGUCCCCACCAUUUAAUCUGCAGAUUCACCCGUUCUCAGAUGGUGUGAGUGCUCUGCAGAUCUACUGCAUGAAGGAAGGGGUUAAGGAUGUCAGCAUCCCAGACCUCAUAAAGCAGUUAGAUAUCCUAGGUGAUAAUGGGAAUUUAAGAAAUGAAGAACAAGUGGCCAUAAUUCAGGCUUCCACUGUAUUGUCCUUGGCAGAAAAGUGGAUCCAGCAGAUUGAGGGCGCUGAAGCUGCUCUGCAUCAGAAGAUGGUGGAACUGGAAAGUGAUAUGGAGCAGUUUUGCAAAAUAAAAGGUUAUUUGGAGGAAGAAUUAGACUACAGGAAGCAAGCUCUUGACCAAGCAUACAUGAGGAUCCAGGAGCUUGAGGCCACCUUGUACAAUGCUUUGCAGCAAGAAACGGUGAUAAAGUUUGGAGAACUACUUACUGAAAAACAGCAGGAAGAGCUGAGGACAGCAGUAGAAAAGCUAAGACGUCAGAUGCUGAGGAAAAGCAGAGAAUAUGAUUGUCAGAUUCUUCAGGAGAGAAUGGAGCUGCUCCAGCAGGCUCAUCAGAGGAUCCGAGAUUUAGAAGAUAAAACUGACAUCCAAAAGAGACAAAUUAAGGAUCUGGAGGAAAAGUUUCUAUUUCUAUUCUUGUUCUUCUCUCUUGCCUUUAUUCUUUGGCCUUGAUGUCAAUGUGCCUCUUGUAAAGAGUGCCCGACCACACAGAUAAAUCCUUAUAAAGGCAAAUGCUUCCACCCCAAAUGAAGAGAACAUUGUUUACACCUGUUUUAAAAAGUAUAAAAAUGAAUAACUUGUAGCCAAGACUGCAACCACCUUGUACUUUAAAGCCAUCACUCGAGAUUUGUCACUUGACAGUUCCUGUCUGAAGCUAUGAUAUAUGCUGCACCUAAUGAAAUUCUGUAUGUUGAAAUUACAAAAAGGGAAGGAAAAUAAACUGUGAACCUGCAUCACCAAGGAAGAACUUAAAGGGAAGGGACCACUUUCAGCUGAUCAAGUCAUUGUGUCUUGGGCAUGGAACCAAAGUUAUGACAGAAAAAAUCUAUCCCUGCUGUGCAGGGCAGUCAUUUUAAAUGUGACACUGUCAUCCCACAAACGGAUCAGAAGGUAACAGGACAGAGCAGGAGAAACACCCAAGAGCUGUGGAGAGAUGCUGGCAACAGAACAUUCCGCUUUCGCCCUGCAGGAACUCAUCUCCGUCUUUGGUUUGAACCUCAGGAACAAAUGACAGCUGCAGGGUGGGGGGAAGAAAGGAAAAAUGCAUUCUGGGUUAUUGCCAGGAUGGGCAGGACAGGCCACGUUUUGCACUUGGGGCCAUAACAAAGUACCACCUUGCUCGACAAAGAAAGAGAAAAAGAGGGUAAGGAGAAUUUCUGACGAGCUGUAGCCUUAUCUCUCUUCGCACUCCCUCCACAAAGAACAGCCUGUCCAUUGUCAUAUACUUUUCAUACUCUUCAAAGAUUGCCAUUGAGAUAAUAAUGGACACACUUGGUUUUGCUGUUUGAACAAUACACUGAGGAUCACUGGAUUGGACCUAAAGAGCAGCCUCUGUGAAAGAAAAGCAAUGUGUUGGAGGACAGAGUGGGGAAAAGCCAACCGCCUUGUCCAUGUGGUAUGAUUGACAAAGCAUCAGCUUCCAACUGUUCCAUCUCAGCUUGGAACAAAUGUUUUGGUUUGGCUUGUCAAACUGAUGUUGUUAGCUGGCUUCCUGAUCAAUGACACAAAAACCAAAAAUGGGGAAGAGCUGUGUGAACACAUCCUUAUUAGCAGUAAGAAGUGUCGCUAGUCUGUUUAGAUUUUUCUACGGUUAAGUAUACCUAGAAGUAGUCUGCAUUUCAAAGCAUUACUUACCUCUCUUAAUCACAAAGCCUGUGGCAUCUCCUGAGGUGUCACAAGUCCAUGCCCCUAUAGUCAGUAAGAAACAAACCCUGCGCUGUGGAGGUCCUGUGCCUGCAGGGAGCAAAGCCGCCUGCUGCACCCAGCUUCCCUUCUCACUGAUGUGCUGUACGAGCGUGCACUUCUCUGGGCCUCUGUCCACUUCCUUGGAGACAGUCGUGCCUGUUCAGACUUCAGGCUCCUGUGGCAAGGCUUCUUAUGUGAGCUGUGUCUUCCACAAUGGAGCCUUCAUUUUAACUGGGAGAAAUGGAUGUCUGUAUUACAGAACAGAAAACUAAGGGCCAGAACACAGCCUGUGCUUUACUUAAACCUUCAAAACAGGGCUCACGUCUACCGACAUCUUACGCACACUGACUGCCCAUCGUAAGCUUUAAAAGUGCUUUAUAAAGACUCUGUCCUUUGCUUGUUUACUUUUACAGAUCAUAGAAUCAUAGAAAUAUUAAGGUUGGAAAAUGCCUCUAAGCUCGUCCAGUCCAACCAUAAAAUGCAGCAACUGAGGCACAAAGCGGUGAAGUAACUUGCCACGGCAGCUGAGCAGGUCACAGGCACUUUCUCAGCCAUAGCAGGGAUGAAAUUCCUCUGGUGUGGGGAGUGACUGCCUCUCACAGAUAGUUUUGGCCAGAAUAGCUUUUAAUCAUUAAUGUCUGUUCACCCAGCUGGAUUGCAGUGUUGGGCAGACUCCCAACAUCCUUAUUUCUUGCCUGCCCUGAGACUGUGCUAAGUCUUCCGUCAAAGGUUAGAAGCUAUUAGCAAGUGUUUUUUUCCCCAGCUCCUUAAAAUUAAUUUAAAUUAGAGUGACAGCAUCUUCUUGCAGCAGUCGUUUUAAGUCUGGUAAUGCAUUUUGCACCAGCUGUAUGUUUGCUGGUUCAUCUUUUUAAAAACAGGCUUGUAGGCAGAUAUGCUAAAUGGACACAGGGUUGUUGCAUGCUCUUUUUUCAAAUUAUUUUUCCCCUGCAGAAGAACCUGUGCGUAAGGUUGGCCCAAGCCUCCCAUGUGCUUUCCAAGGGUGUUGCUAGCAGUUCAGUCCUGAAGCUCUGGAGUCGGGCCCCUUGAGUCUUGUCCCACACCUGUGACAUGUUUAGAUCAGUAAGCAACUUUACAGCACCUUGUUGGCUACAAAAAUUAGGGGGUUCAUUUCUGGUUAUUCCCUCUUCCCCCUUUCACUCCUUUUUCCUCUGUGGCAGCACCAGUUCACUUCAUACCACUUGGCUGCAGUGUCCUACAAGUAAGUACAGGGUGGAAACUGUUUUCCCUAGCAUUAGCACGGUGAUUAAAACACUGAACUGUCCUCGUGGAAGAAUGAUCAGCUCCUGCUUUCCCUAACAGUGCAAUAACUUCCACCUCUGCUUUGGUUAAAAAAAUAAGGAAGGCUAGAAAGGUUUGUUUCAGGCAGGGAAGGUUCAUGGCACAGAAGGAAAUGCCCGGUUUCAGAACGUACCUGAUGGGUCUUAUGGCAGGCUUCUUCAUUUAGGCCCUCUGAGCCACUGCACAUAUUUUAGGUCAUUUAUCUGUUUUGCCUGAUCUCCCCUCCCUCAUACCUGUACAGAUGCGUGCAGGUGCUCCUCUGACUUGGGGGGUUGGGGCGGUAGACAAUCCAGUGCCAGUUUCUUGGCCUGCAGACUUCUAAAAGAUCACUAUGUGCCCUCCAGAGAGCUGAACCACAGCUGUUUGCUCCCUUGCAGCAUAACAUAAGCCAUGACUCAAACACACUUGCUGAUAGGAGUAACUCAAACCUUCUUCUGUCAGCUAGAUCAAAAUGAGUUUGCUUUGUGUGUAUAUAUAUAUACAUGUAUCUAUAUAUGGUAUAUAUGUAUAUGUACAUAUAUAUACAUGUAUAUGCAUAUAUCUUUUUCCUGUUGUACAUGGUGAAUCAUUGCUAUAGCUUAUGAAAAUAUACUUCCAACCUCAGUAUGGGGAACUGAAUCAAGACUUGUUUAGCUGCCACAAUGGUACAUUCCUAGUGGUUUAGCUUUAUAUCUCAUGAGCAACUGAUUUUUGGAUCUGCUUUUCUGAGGUCUCCUUCCCUCUCUGUCCUGAAGCCAUUUAUCCAGGGCUUUCUGUUGUUCCUGACCUUCCUUGAAGCAGAGUAUUGAGAAUCCUCCCUCAUUUUACUCACUGCAGCCAACCUCUAUGCCCCAAAAUCAACCAGCAAAACCAAAAUCAAUUUACCGCAGCCUUUGAGGACAGCAUAUGUAGCCCUGGGUUCCUCCAUCUGUCCUAUGCUGCAGUAGGAGGACCAGCUCUUCAGGCAAUCCAUCCCAUCAAGGCAGCAGCGGAGCCACAUAACAUAGUGCACAUCAGGUUGACCAAAACCUGAUGUGCUGCUUUUCUCCACUAACCAAACCAGGAGAUUUUGAAGACUAUUCUCUCAAUUUCAGCAUUUCUGAUGAAGGCUUGGUGAGGCAAGGUGAGUUCAGGCAGUGGGCGCUGCAGAAGGGAAUGGCUUCCUGCAGUGUUGUCAGCCUGGCUCACGGCUUCAUCCUCUCUUGUUGAUGUGCCUGGACCACAUAGGCUUCCUUUGUAGAUGCGCUUCAUUUUCCAGCUCCCUGGCCUCAUCUUGGUGGGAGUCAUCCUCUGAACAUCCCCAAAGCUUUCCACUCCAUGACAUCCCAUGGGAACCACAUAGGCCAGGCUUCCCCAUGCACUAGGGCAUGGUUCAAUAUGCACCCACACAGCUGCUGGUGAUUCAAAGAGUUUUUCCUUUCCCCCUCCCUCCCUCCCUCACAUCAGCACCCGGGUGUUUUUAUAUGUACUUUUUGUUCCCAGUUUUUUUGGUGUCUGUUUCAGAACAGAAUUCUGAACAACUCAGCAGAACGACCCUUUGAUAAACACUGGACAUGUAUCUGUACCAUAUGUAUUAACGUGUAGAAGAGAAUCCUUACGAGAGACAAAAUAUUAUGCAGCCCUGCUUGGGAAGCCCGUAAUUCCAGAGAUGAAAGGCAGCACAGCUCUUGGAAGCUGUGUGCACUACAAAAAAAGACCUUUUGGAAGGAAGUUGCCAAGCUGCAAGUCUCUUGAGCAGUCCUCCUCACCAGUCUGCCGUUCUUCUCCCACAGAAGAGAUGAGCCGUGUUGCAGACUCUGCAUCUGUCUCGGCAGGCAUGGCCAGGACUUACGGCUGAUGUAGAAGGAACAAUGACUGCACGGGAAAAGAUUUCUGUGUUGUCUCUGCAGCCCAUGUUGGUGGCAGUAGCUUUCCAUUGUUAGGGAGAUUGGCUGAACGUAGAAAAAGACCUAAUAAUUGGCAAUGUGCCCUCUACUCUGUGUUGAGGGGACUGAGUCUCUGUACACAGCAGAAAAAUACAUUUCAAAGCCCCACUUCAACCUGGACGGAGGAGCAUCCCACAGCUUAUGCCACACUGACAAGGGGCCACCGUGCACUGUCUGCUCUAGUGUCCAGCCACCAAGUGACAGCUGUGGACAAGUUGCUUUGCACAACAAAGAAAAUCCUGUGGAAACCAAUUUAGAAGCCUGCAGCAGGACCGAGGCUAGGAAUGUAAUGAUUUCAAUGUGUACAACAGAUGGAGACUUCAGAGCAUGGAGCCUCUAAUCUAUGGAUUACACACUCCCCAAUUACAGACUGACACCAUUACUGAGAGGCACUAGCAGCCGAAGGAGGGAUCUUGCACAUCAGUGCUCAACAGCCAAAUGCCACACCAGGGAUAACAAGGGAAGGAACGGAGACUGGAAAAUGUAACUGUACCACACCUUUUGCUCAUGCAGCGUGGAAGUCACCAAGACUGUGUUUCAAUUGUGGUUAAACCAGCAGGAAGAGUUUAAAUGAGUGUUGUUGCUCCUGAUUUACAGGGGUUUAACAGAGAUGGCAGUCUAGCCCAUGAGCCCUGAGAAGGUGGGUAGAAAGCAGACAGUGAAGUGUUCCUGCCUGAACCCUGUAGUGGCUCAUUGCAGCCCCUCCGAAGCCAUGGGGAGAAGGCCUGUGUGGAAAGUGGCCAUGUCUAUCAUUUCAGUAUUUGAGUGCAAAACACGUGACAGGGAAGCUGUGACUCUACACAUUUAGACCUAUAAUGGAACAGGAGAAGGGUACUCACCUCCUCUACCCAUUUUAAAAUAUGACCAUGAGACCUGAGGAAAUUUUGAGUUACUUUGAUAAAAAUCAGACCAAAGCCUAAAAUUAUAGCAGAAAUAUAAAGUCUGACUGCCAAAAUUGUGAAAGGUAAAACUCACCCAUGCUUGGCUUCAGCAGCUGUAAAAUGACUGAAAUGCAAGCAGUCUGACGUGAAGUGGGAAACAGGAGGAAAGUCACUGGCAAUCGUUCUGGAAUUGGUUUCGUAGCUAUUGCCGAGUGCCUAGCUCAGUUCGCACCAUAAAGAAAUGCAACAUAGUGUGUAGCAAAAGCAGUUCAAGAAAAGCCUUCUCCAUUCAGAAGAAAUUAACUCAUCAGUUAAAUUUAGCAGUCCCACCAGAACUCAUUUUGUGCCAGUGAUACACAGAGCUCUGCCUGCUCUCUGCGUUCCACACUGCGAGUGCGUUAGCUGCGGUCUGCCGAAUGGAUGGCAUUUGGAUCCAUCAGCAGGAGCAGGAGGGAGUCUGUGGCCAUGGCAGACACCAGUUUCCUCCUGCAGGCAGCCACCCAGUGAUGAUCUAACUCCUCCAGAAUGCCUUUAAACGGCAGAUGCGCAGCCUGGUACCCACCCAUAGAAGACAUCUGCUGCAGAGAAAGUUGCCUCAUUCAGAGGCCACGCGACCCUUUGCGUGAG
Molecule: RNA transcript, 8683 nt
Organism: Cuculus canorus (common cuckoo)
Lineage: Eukaryota; Metazoa; Chordata; Aves; Cuculiformes; Cuculidae
Gene: JAKMIP2
Gene name: janus kinase and microtubule interacting protein 2
Exons: 24
Source: RefSeq, a predicted model, not a curated record